UGCGAACUCCUACGGGAGGCAGCAGUGGGGAAUUUUGGACAAUGGGGGCAACCCUGAUCCAGCAAUGCCGCGUGAGUGAAGAAGGCCUUCGGGUUGUAAAGCUAUUUUGUCAGGGAAGAAACGGUAGUAGCUAAUAUCUAUUACUAAUGACGGUACCUGAAGAAUAGGCACCGGCUAACUACGUGCCAGCAGCCGCGGUAAUACGUAGGGUGCAAGCGUUAAUCGGAAUUACUGGGCGUAAAGCGUGCGCGGGCGGUUGUGUAAGUCAGAUGUGAAAUCCCCGGGCUCAACCUGGGAAUUGCGUUUGAGACUGCACGGCUAGAGUGUGUCAGAGGGAAGUAGAAUUCCACGUGUAGCAGUGAAAUGCGUAGAUAUGUGGAGGAAUACCGAUGGCGAAGGCAGCACCCUGGGAUAACACUGACGCUCAUGCACGAAAGCGUGGGGAGCGAACAGGAUUAGAAACCCUAGUAGGCCAGAUG
Molecule: ribosomal RNA, 479 nt
Filed under: uncultured bacterium
Lineage: Bacteria
Description: bacterial SSU rRNA
Rfam family: Bacterial small subunit ribosomal RNA
Source: RNAcentral